This 371-nucleotide ribosomal RNA is filed under the name Diclidophlebia eastopi. RNAcentral's name for it is "partial small subunit ribosomal RNA". Lineage: Eukaryota; Metazoa; Arthropoda; Insecta; Hemiptera; Liviidae. The record is from RNAcentral.
UGUUAGGUCAAGGUGCAGUCUAUUAAAGAAUAUUAUGGGUUACAUUGCAAAAUAUGAAUGAAUUUAAUUUGUGUUUAAUUUUUGAAAAAGGAUUUAAAAGUAAAUUUAAUUAUGAAUUAUAAUGAAUUUAGAUUCUAAAAUAUGUACACAUUGCCCGUCGCUCUUAAUUUUAUAAAAGAUAAGUCGUAACAUAGUAGAUGUACCGGAAGGUGUAUCUGGAAUGAGAAAGUAAAUAGCUUAAAAAAAGUUUAUUAUUUACAUGUAUAAGAUAUCUUUAUGAUUUUACUUUAAGUUAUGUUUAUAAUAAUUUUUAAUUUAAAUUGCAAGGGGGAGAUUGUAAUUUAAUUAGAAGUUAUAUUAAUUGUACCUUU